GUGGGGAAUUUUGGACAAUGGGCGCAAGCCUGAUCCAGCAAUGCCGCGUGUGUGAAGAAGGCCUUCGGGUUGUAAAGCACUUUUGUCCGGAAAGAAAUCUCCUGGGUUAAUACCUCGGGGGGAUGACGGUACCGGAAGAAUAAGCACCGGCUAACUACGUGCCAGCAGCCGCGGUAAUACGUAGGGUGCGAGCGUUAAUCGGAAUUACUGGGCGUAAAGCGUGCGCAGGCGGCUAUGCAAGACAGAUGUGAAAUCCCCGGGCUCAACCUGGGAACUGCAUUUGUGACUGCAUGGCUAGAGUGCGUCAGAGGGAGGUGGAAUUCCGCGUGUAGCAGUGAAAUGCGUAGAGAUGCGGAGGAACACCGAUGGCGAAGGCAGCCUCCUGGGAUGACACUGACGCUCAUGCACGAAAGCGUGGGGAGCAAACAGGAUUAGAAACCCCUGUAGUCC
This 450-nucleotide ribosomal RNA is filed under the name uncultured bacterium. Its description in RNAcentral is "partial 16S ribosomal RNA". It matches the Rfam family "Bacterial small subunit ribosomal RNA", at positions 354 to 796 of the family's 1533-position model. The record is from RNAcentral.